Molecule: ribosomal RNA, 492 nt
Filed under: uncultured bacterium
Lineage: Bacteria
Description: partial 16S ribosomal RNA
Rfam family: Bacterial small subunit ribosomal RNA
Source: RNAcentral
AGUGAACGCUGGCGGUAGGCCUAACACAUGCAAGUCGAACGGCAGCACAGUAAGAGCUUGCUCUUACGGGUGGCGAGUGGCGGACGGGUGAGGAAUACAUCGGAAUCUACUUUUUCGUGGGGGAUAACGUAGGGAAACUUACGCUAAUACCGCAUACGACCUACGGGUGAAAGCAGGGGAUCUUCGGACCUUGCGCGAUUGAAUGAGCCGAUGUCGGAUUAGCUAGUUGGCGGGGUAAAGGCCCACCAAGGCGACGAUCCGUAGCUGGUCUGAGAGGAUGAUCGGCCGCACUGGAGGUGGGACACGGUCCAGACUCCUGCGGGAGGCAGCAGUGGGGAAUAUUAGACAGUGGGCGCAAGCCUGGUCCAGCCAUACCGCGUGGGUGAAGAAGGCCUUCGGGUUGUAAAGCCCUUUUGUUGGGAAAGAAAAGCAGCAGGUUAAUACCCCGCUGUUCUGACGGUACCCAAAGAAUAAGCACCGGCUAACUUCGUG